GCAAUCUCAGACGACGACGGGUAGCCGGCCUGAGAGGGCGACCGGCCACACUGGGACUGAGACACGGCCCAGACUCCUACGGGAGGCAGCAGUGGGGAAUAUUGCACAAUGGGCGAAAGCCUGAUGCAGCGACGCAGCGUGAGGGAUGACUGCCUUCGGGUUGUAAACCUCUUUCAGUAGGGAAGAAGCGAAAGUGACGGUACCUGCAGAAGAAGCGCCGGCUAACUACGUGCCAGCAGCCGCGGUAAUACGUAGGGCGCAAGCGUUAUCCGGAAUUAUUGGGCGUAAAGAGCUUGUAGGUGGCUUGUCGCGUCUGCCGUGAAAACCCGAGGCUCAACCUCGGGCGUGCGGUGGGUACGGGCAGGCUAGAGUGUGGUAGGGGAGACUGGAACUCCUGGUGUAGCGGUGAAAUGCGCAGAUAUCAGGAAGAACACCGAUGGCGAAGGCAGGUCUCUGGGCCAUUACUGACACUGAGAAGCGAAAGCAUGGGUAGCGAACAGGAUUAGGUACCCUGGUAGUCCAUGCCGUAAACGUUGGGCACUAGAUGUGGGGGACAUUCCACGUUUUCCGCGUCGUAGCUAACGCAUUAAGUGCCCCGCCUGGGGGAGUACGGA
This 614-nucleotide ribosomal RNA is filed under the name uncultured Brachybacterium sp. RNAcentral's name for it is "bacterial SSU rRNA". It matches the Rfam family "Bacterial small subunit ribosomal RNA", at positions 263 to 886 of the family's 1533-position model. The record is from RNAcentral. Lineage: Bacteria; Bacillati; Actinomycetota; Actinomycetes; Micrococcales; Dermabacteraceae.